This 345-nucleotide unclassified non-coding RNA is filed under the name soil metagenome. RNAcentral describes it as "partial contains 5.8S ribosomal RNA, internal transcribed spacer 2, and large subunit ribosomal RNA". The stretch from base 1 to 120 matches the Rfam family "5.8S ribosomal RNA", at positions 35 to 154 of the family's 154-position model. The record is from RNAcentral.
GAUGAAGAACGUAGCGAAAUGCGAUACGUAAUGUGAAUUGCAGAAUUCAGUGAAUCAUCGAGUCUUUGAACGCACAUUGCGCCCUCUGGUAUUCCGGAGGGCAUGCCUGUCCGAGCGUCAUUGCUGCCCUCAAGCACGGCUUGUGUGUUGGGCCUCCGUCCUCCUCCCGGGGGACGGGCCCGAAAGGCAGCGGCGGCACCGCGUCCGGUCCUCGAGCGUAUGGGGCUUCGUCACCCGCUCUUGUAGGCCCGGCCGGCGCUUGCCGACACAUCAAUCUUUUUUCCAGGUUGACCUCGGAUCAGGUAGGGAUACCCGCUGAACUUAAGCAUAUCAAUAAGCGGAGGA